This 497-nucleotide ribosomal RNA is filed under the name uncultured bacterium. Its description in RNAcentral is "partial 16S ribosomal RNA". It matches the Rfam family "Bacterial small subunit ribosomal RNA", at positions 28 to 507 of the family's 1533-position model. The record is from RNAcentral.
GACGAACGCUGGCGGCGUGCCUAAUACAUGCAAGUUGAGCGCUGAAGGUUGGUACUUGUACCGACUGGAUGAGCAGCGAACGGGUGAGUAACGCGUGGGGAAUCUGCCUUUGAGCGGGGGACAACAUUUGGAAACGAAUGCUAAUACCGCAUAAAAACUUUAAACACAAGUUUUAAGUUUGAAAGAUGCAAUUGCAUCACUCAAAGAUGAUCCCGCGUUGUAUUAGCUAGUUGGUGAGGUAAAGGCUCACCAAGGCGAUGAUACAUAGCCGACCUGAGAGGGUGAUCGGCCACAUUGGGACUGAGACACGGCCCAAACUCCUACGGGAGGCAGCAGUAGGGAAUCUUCGGCAAUGGACGAAAGUCUGACCGAGCAACGCCGCGUGAGUGAAGAAAGUUUUCGGAUCGUAAAACUCUGUUGGUAGAGAAGAACGUUGGUGAGAGUGGAAAGCUCAUCAAGUGACGGUAACUACCCAGAAAGGGACGGCUAACUACGUG